CACGUCAGAGCGCUUUGCUGACAUGCCAACAAAUCGUGCCUUCUAGGACGCGAUUUGCUGCCACGUCAGCAAAGUGCGUUGAUGUGG
Gossypium raimondii (Peruvian cotton) is the source of this 87-nucleotide non-coding RNA. The record is from Rfam. Lineage: Eukaryota; Viridiplantae; Streptophyta; Magnoliopsida; Malvales; Malvaceae.